CCUAGUCAUGCUGACGCGGAGGGACAUUA
This 29-nucleotide ribosomal RNA is filed under the name Neomensularia kanehirae. RNAcentral's name for it is "partial 18S ribosomal RNA". Lineage: Eukaryota; Fungi; Basidiomycota; Agaricomycetes; Hymenochaetales; Hymenochaetaceae. The record is from RNAcentral.